GCGGGGGUGCCCGAGCUGGUCAAAGGGGGCGGACUUAAGAUCCGCUGGCGAAGGCCUGCGUGGGUUCAAAUCCCACCCCCCGCA
RNAcentral lists this transfer RNA (84 nucleotides) under Sulfolobus sp. RNAcentral's name for it is "tRNA-Leu". It matches the Rfam family "tRNA". Rfam says of the family: Transfer RNA (tRNA) molecules are approximately 80 nucleotides in length. RNAcentral also lists the same sequence under 3 other names. The record is from RNAcentral. Lineage: Archaea; Thermoproteati; Thermoproteota; Thermoprotei; Sulfolobales; Sulfolobaceae.